This 492-nucleotide ribosomal RNA is filed under the name uncultured bacterium. RNAcentral describes it as "partial 16S ribosomal RNA". It matches the Rfam family "Bacterial small subunit ribosomal RNA", at positions 29 to 507 of the family's 1533-position model. The record is from RNAcentral.
AGUGAACGCUGGCGGUAGGCCUAACACAUGCAAGUCGAACGGCAGCACAGUAAGAGCUUGCUCUUACGGGUGGCGAGUGGCGGACGGGUGAGGAAUACAUCGGAAUCUACUUUUUCGUGGGGGAUAACGUAGGGAAACUUACGCUAAUACCUCAUACGACCUACGGGUUAAAGCAGGGGAUCUUCGGACCUUGCCCGAUUGAAUGAGCCGAUGUCGGAUUAGCUAGUUGGCGGGGUAAAGGCCCACCAAGGCGACGAUCCGUAGCUGGUCUGAGAGGAUGAUCAGCCACACUGGAACUGAGACACGGUCCAGACUCCUACGGGAGGCAGCAGUGGGGAAUAUUGGACAAUGGGCGCAAGCCUGAUCCAGCCAUACCGCGUGGGUGAAGAAGGCCUUCGGGUUGUAAAGCCCUUUUGUUGGGAAAGAAAAGCAGCAGGUUAAUACCCCGAUGUUCUGACGGUACCCAAAGAAUAAGCACCGGCUAACUUCGUG